Molecule: ribosomal RNA, 449 nt
Filed under: uncultured bacterium
Lineage: Bacteria
Description: partial 16S ribosomal RNA
Rfam family: Bacterial small subunit ribosomal RNA
Source: RNAcentral
AACGAACGCUGGCGGCAUGCCUAGCACAUGCAAGUCGAACGAGAUCUUCGGGUCUAGUGGCGCACGGGUGCGUAACGCGUGGGAAUCUGCCCUUUGGUUCGGAAUAACAGUUGGAAACGACUGCUAAUACCGGAUGAUGACGAAAGUCCAAAGAUUUAUCGCCAGAGGAUGAGCCCGCGUAGGAUUAGCUAGUUGGUGUGGUAAAGGCGCACCAAGGCGACGAUCCUUAGCUGGUCUGAGAGGAUGAUCAGCCACACUGGGACUGAGACACGGCCCAGACUCCUACGGGAGGCAGCAGUGGGGAAUAUUGGACAAUGGGCGAAAGCUUGAUCCAGCAAUGCCGCGUGAGUGAUGAAGGCCUUAGGGUUGUAAAGCUCUUUUACCCGGGAUGAUAAUGACAGUACCGGGAGAAUAAGCCCCGGCUAACUCCGUGCCAGCCGCCGCGGUAA